GCAGUCGAACGAACUCUGGUAUUGAUUGGUGCUUGCAUCAUGAUUUACAUUUGAGUGAGUGGCGAACUGGUGAGUAACACGUGGGAAACCUGCCCAGAAGCGGGGGAUAACACCUGGAAACAGAUGCUAAUACCGCAUAACAACUUGGACCGCAUGGUCCGAGUUUGAAAGAUGGCUUCGGCUAUCACUUUUGGAUGGUCCCGCGGCGUAUUAGCUAGAUGGUGGGGUAACGGCUCACCAUGGCAAUGAUACGUAGCCGACCUGAGAGGGUAAUCGGCCACAUUGGGACUGAGACACGGCCCAAACUCCUACGGGAGGCAGCAGUAGGGAAUCUUCCACAAUGGACGAAAGUCUGAUGGAGCAACGCCGCGUGAGUGAAGAAGGGUUUCGGCUCGUAAAACUCUGUUGUUAAAGAAGAACAUAUCUGAGAGUAACUGUUCAGGUAUUGACGGUAUUUAACCAGAAAGCCACGGCUAACUACGUGCCAGCAGCCGCGGUAAUACGUAGGUGGCAAGCGUUGUCCGGAUUUAUUGGGCGUAAAGCGAGCGCAGGCGGUUUUUUAAGUCUGAUGUGAAAGCCUUCGGCUCAACCGAAGAAGUGCAUCGGAAACUGGGAAACUUGAGUGCAGAAGAGGACAGUGGAACUCCAUGUGUAGCGGUGAAAUGCGUAGAUAUAUGGAAGAACACCAGUGGCGAAGGCGGCUGUCUGGUCUGUAACUGACGCUGAGGCUCGAAAGUAUGGGUAGCAAACAGGAUUAGAUACCCUGGUAGUCCAUACCGUAAACGAUGAAUGCUAAGUGUUGGAGGGUUUCCGCCCUUCAGUGCUGCAGCUAACGCAUUAAGCAUUCCGCCUGGGGAGUACGGCCGCAAGGCUGAAACUCAAAGGAAUUGACGGGGGCCCGCACAAGCGGGGGAGCAUGUGGUUUAAUUCGAAGCUACGCGAAGAACCUUACCAGGUCUUGACAUACUAUGCAAAUCUAAGAGAUUAGACGUUCCCUUCGGGGACAUGGAUACAGGUGGUGCAUGGUUGUCGUCAGCUCGUGUCGUGAGAUGUUGGGUUAAGUCCCGCAACGAGCGCAACCCUUAUUAUCAGUUGCCAGCAUUAAGUUGGGCACUCUGGUGAGACUGCCGGUGACAAACCGGAGGAAGGUGGGGAUGACGUCAAAUCAUCAUGCCCCUUAUGACCUGGGCUACACACGUGCUACAAUGGAUGGUACAACGAGUUGCGAACUCGCGAGAGUAAGCUAAUCUCUUAAAGCCAUUCUCAGUUCGGAUUGUAGGCUGCAACUCGCCUACAUGAAGUCGGAAUCGCUAGUAAUCGCGGAUCAGCAUGCCGCGGUGAAUACGUUCCCGGGCCUUGUACACACCGCCCGUCACACCAUGAGAGUUUGUAACACCCAAAGUCGGUGGGGUAAC
RNAcentral lists this ribosomal RNA (1415 nucleotides) under Lactiplantibacillus plantarum. RNAcentral describes it as "bacterial SSU rRNA". It matches the Rfam family "Bacterial small subunit ribosomal RNA". The record is from RNAcentral. Lineage: Bacteria; Bacillati; Bacillota; Bacilli; Lactobacillales; Lactobacillaceae.